CCUACGGGAGGCAGCAGUGAGGAAUAUUGGUCAAUGGCCGGAAGGCUGAACCAGCCAAGCCGCGUGAAGGACGAAGGUGCCAAGCAUUGUAAACUUCUUUUGUCAAGGGACAAAAUCAGGCUCGAGAGCCUGACCGAGGGUACUUGAAGAAAAAGCAUCGGCUAACUCCGUGCCAGCAGCCGCGGUAAUACGGAGGACGCGAGCGUUAUCCGGAUUUAUUGGGUUUAAAGGGUGCGUAGGCGGGCUGUUAAGUCAGCGGUAAAAGCCCGGGGCUCAACCCCGGCGAGCCGUUGAAACUGGCUGUCGUGAGAGGGCGAGAGGUAUGCGGAAUGCGCAGGGUAGCGGUGAAAUGCUUAGAUAUUGCGCAGAACUCCGAUUGCGAAGGCAGCAUACCGGCGGCGAUCUGACGCUGAGGCACGAAAGCGUGGGUAUCGAACAGGAUUAGAUACCCGUGUAGUC
This 459-nucleotide ribosomal RNA is filed under the name uncultured bacterium. Its description in RNAcentral is "partial 16S ribosomal RNA". It matches the Rfam family "Bacterial small subunit ribosomal RNA", at positions 338 to 795 of the family's 1533-position model. The record is from RNAcentral.